This is a small nucleolar RNA of Artibeus jamaicensis (Jamaican fruit-eating bat), 72 nucleotides long. RefSeq annotates it as small nucleolar RNA SNORD113/SNORD114 family. NCBI's taxonomy places the organism in Eukaryota, Metazoa, Chordata, Mammalia, Chiroptera, Phyllostomidae. The record is from RefSeq and is a predicted model, not a curated record. The transcript has a single exon.
UGGAUCAAUGAUGACCAAGGGUGGCGUAUGAGUCGUAGACUGUGACUACGUAUCUGGAACUCUGAGGUCCAA